Rhodnius prolixus is the source of this 73-nucleotide non-coding RNA. The record is from Rfam. NCBI's taxonomy places the organism in Eukaryota, Metazoa, Arthropoda, Insecta, Hemiptera, Reduviidae.
CCCGUAUGAAAGACAUGGGUAGUGAGAUGGGUAAGUAGGAUCUACAUCUCACUACCUUGUCUUUCAUGCGGAC